This 434-nucleotide ribosomal RNA is filed under the name uncultured bacterium. RNAcentral describes it as "bacterial SSU rRNA". It matches the Rfam family "Bacterial small subunit ribosomal RNA", at positions 29 to 507 of the family's 1533-position model. The record is from RNAcentral.
AACGUACGCUGGCGGCACGCCUAAUACAUGCAAGUCGAACGAAGUAGCAAUACUUAGUGGCAGACGGGUGAGUAACAUGUGGGUAUCUUCCCUUUGGUGAGGAAUAACACGAGGAAACUUGUGCUAAUACCUCAUAAGUCUUUACGGAGAAAGCUUUAUGCGCCAAUGGAUGAGCCCGCACUUGAUUAGUUUGUUGGUGAGGUAAUGGCUCACCAAGACUUUGAUCAAUAGCUGAUUUGAGAGGAUGAUCAGCCACAUUGGGACUGAGACACGGCCCAAACUCCUACGGGAGGCAGCAGUAGGGAAUCUUGCACAAUGGGGGAAACCCUGAUGCAGCGAUGCCGCGUGAGUGAAGAAGGCCUUUGGGUUGUAAAGCUCUUUCGUCGGGGAAGAAAAUGACUGUACCCGAAUAAGAAGGUCCGGCUAACUUCGUG